Molecule: ribosomal RNA, 498 nt
Filed under: uncultured bacterium
Lineage: Bacteria
Description: bacterial SSU rRNA
Rfam family: Bacterial small subunit ribosomal RNA
Source: RNAcentral
GACGAACGCUGGCGGCGUGCCUAAUACAUGCAAGUCGAACGCACUCUCGUUAGAUUGAAGAAGCUUGCUUCUGAUUGAUAACAUUUGAGUGAGUGGCGGACGGGUGAGUAACACGUGGGUAACCUGCCCUAAAGUGGGGGAUAACAUUUGGAAACAGAUGCUAAUACCGCAUAAAACCUAAGCACCGCAUGGUGCAAGGUUGAAAGAUGGUUUCGGCUAUCACUUUAGGAUGGACCCGCGGUGCAUUAGUUAGUUGGUGAGGUAAAGGCUCACCAAGACCGUGAUGCAUAGCCGACCUGAGAGGGUAAUCGGCCACACUGGGACUGAGACACGGCCCAGACUCCUACGGGAGGCAGCAGUAGGGAAUCUUCCACAAUGGACGAAAGUCUGAUGGAGCAACGCCGCGUGAGUGAAGAAGGUUUCGGAUCGUAAAACUCUGUUGUUGGAGAAGACGUAUUGAUAGUAACUGAUCAGGUAGUGACGGUAUCCAACCAGAAA